UGGGGAAUAUUGCGCAAUGGGCGAAAGUCUGACGCAGCGACGCCGCGUGAGGGAUGAAGGUUUUCGGAUCGUAAACCUCUGUCAGAAGGGAAGAAACCGCACUGUGCUAAUCAGCAGUGCCUUGACGGUACCUUCAAAGGAAGCACCGGCUAACUCCGUGCCAGCAGCCGCGGUAAUACGGAGGGUGCAAGCGUUAAUCGGAAUUACUGGGCGUAAAGCGCACGUAGGCUGCUUUGUAAGUCAGGGGUGAAAUCCCACGGCUCAACCGUGGAACUGCCUUUGACACUGCUUAGCUUGAAUCCGGGAGAGGGUGGCGGAAUUCCAGGUGUAGGAGUGAAAUCCGUAGAUAUCUGGAGGAACAUCAGUGGCGAAGGCGGCCACCUGGACCGGUAUUGACGCUGAGGUGCGAAAGCGUGGGGAGCAAACAGG
Molecule: ribosomal RNA, 429 nt
Filed under: Fusobacteriota bacterium
Lineage: Bacteria; Fusobacteriati; Fusobacteriota
Description: Fusobacteria bacterium partial 16S ribosomal RNA
Rfam family: Bacterial small subunit ribosomal RNA
Source: RNAcentral